This is a long non-coding RNA of Entelurus aequoreus (snake pipefish), 994 nucleotides long. RefSeq lists it as uncharacterized. Lineage: Eukaryota; Metazoa; Chordata; Actinopteri; Syngnathiformes; Syngnathidae. The transcript has 3 exons. The record is from RefSeq and is a predicted model, not a curated record.
CCUCCGGCUCGCAGCGUUUAGCGUUAUAAGACGACACGAACACGGAGCCUCGGUCUUUCGCUUCCAAAAACACGGAGUCGUCGAAGUUGCUCCCAAAUAUUUCCAUGGAAAAUAUGGAAAUGAUGCGGAUUGUGUGUUUGGCGGACAAGCAGCUGGAGGGAGAUUACGAAGAAGUCCAUUCUCUAAGUUAUCCCCUCAAGCUCAUCAGAUGGUAACUGCUCCACCACAUCAGAGGGCAGCACCAUGCAAGGCGUUGUUGAUUUUCGGCGGCUUGACAUCAUUAGACUGUGCAAAUGUCUAUCUAGAGUAAAUGCAGUUUUAGGCAGAAGACUUGAGGCUCACAUGUCUUUGGAAGUCAUCUUCACGUACCAAGACUUUUCAGUUGUCUGGUAAAAGAAACAGAUGGAAAAUGUUGCAAAGUGCAUUCAAACAGAUUAUUUUAGGCAAGUGUGUACAUUUGAACAAAGUGUGCAUGUUAAAUUAAUCUAUUCUUAAUACACUUUGACAUUGUUUUUGAUUUUACACAUCUUAGUAUAUAAGAUAUUAUCCACAACCUAAUCAUAACACAAAUGAUACACCUCUCAGAAUAAAAUGCAUCGGUGUUAGGGCUGCAGCUAUCAAUUGUUUUAGUAAUCUUUCGAUUAGUUUAUUGGCUUAAUUGGUAAUCGGAUAAAUCACACUUUAUAGCAUCAAUCUGUAUUUUAAGGAAAAUAGCUGGUCCUGAGCAGUCCUGGGUUCAAUCCCGGGCUCGGAAUCUUUCUGUGUGGAGUUUGCAUGUUCUCCCCGUGACUGCGUGGGUUCCCUCCGGGUACUCCGGCUUCCUCCCACCUCCAAGAACAUGCACCUGGGGAUAGGUUGAUUGGCAACACUAAAUUGGCCCUAGUGUGUGAAUGUGAGUGUGAAUGUUGUCUGCCUAUCUGUGUUGGCUCUGCGAUGAUGUGGCGACUUGUCCAGGGUGUACCCCGCCUUCCGCCCGAAUGCAGCUGAGAUAGUC